GUAAAAUAAUGGCCUAAUGGUUAGCCAUGCUGGACUACAGAUCAAGCGGCCCAGGUUCGAGCCCUGGACAGAUUCA
This is a non-coding RNA of Desmophyllum pertusum, 76 nucleotides long. NCBI's taxonomy places the organism in Eukaryota, Metazoa, Cnidaria, Anthozoa, Scleractinia, Caryophylliidae. The record is from the annotation of a GenBank genome assembly.